Molecule: ribosomal RNA, 406 nt
Filed under: uncultured bacterium
Lineage: Bacteria
Description: partial 16S ribosomal RNA
Rfam family: Bacterial small subunit ribosomal RNA
Source: RNAcentral
AUUGAACGCUGGCGGCAGGCCUAACACAUGCAAGUCGAACGAGUGGCGGACGGGUGAGUAAUGUCUGGGAAACUGCCUGAUCGAGGGGGAUAACUACUGGAAACGGUAGCUAAUACCGCAUACCCUCAGAUGUGCCCCGAUGGGAUUAGCUAGUUGGUGGGGUAAAGGCCUAACAAGGCGACGAUCCUUAACUGGUCUGAGAGGAUGAUCAGGCACACUGGAACUGGGACACGGGCCAGACUCCUACGGGAGGAAGCAGGGGGGAAUAUUGCACAAUGGGCGAAAGCCUGAUCCAGCCAUGCCGCGUGUGUGAAGAAGGUCUUCGGGUUGUAAAGCACUUUAAGUUGGGAGGCGUUACCUGCAGAAUAAGCACCGGCUAACUUCGUGCCAGCCGCCGCGGUAAUAC